CUGGAUAGCUCAGUUGGUUAGAGUGCGGUGCUGACAACACCAAGGUUGCAGGUUCGAUUCCCAAGAAGAAGA
Non-coding RNA from Podarcis lilfordi (Lilford's wall lizard), 72 nucleotides. Lineage: Eukaryota; Metazoa; Chordata; Lepidosauria; Squamata; Lacertidae. The record is from the annotation of a GenBank genome assembly.